GUGAGUGUGGGGUGGCGAAGGCUCCAAUCAUUAGAUCGAACGCUGAAGGGUCUUGGCUCUGUUUCUUUCAAGCAUCUGAGUUUUCUUUCGAGCAAUUUGCUUCUAGUAGCAAGAAUCGAUGGCAACCGGUCCUACCACUCCUCUGUCUCAUAUUGAUUUACAAACCCUAACAAGCCUGUUCAGUCAGUUCAAUCAGAUGCAACAAAAUUCUAAUCGUGCUAAUUUGAGUCCAAUUUUGGAUCCAACAAGCCACUACUACUUGCAUCCGGGAGAGAGUCCAGGUACUCCCCUAAUUGCAUCGAUUCUCAACUUGAAUAACUAUCAUACCUGGGAGACAUCAAUGUCGAGAGCUUUAAGAGGU
Molecule: long non-coding RNA, 361 nt
Filed under: Arachis ipaensis
Lineage: Eukaryota; Viridiplantae; Streptophyta; Magnoliopsida; Fabales; Fabaceae
Description: long non-coding RNA (AIPA_LNC001928)
Source: RNAcentral